This 33-nucleotide transfer RNA is filed under the name Megascops watsonii (tawny-bellied screech-owl). RNAcentral's name for it is "partial tRNA-Trp". Lineage: Eukaryota; Metazoa; Chordata; Aves; Strigiformes; Strigidae. The record is from RNAcentral.
AGAAACUUAGGAUAGCCCGCCCCAAAACCGAAG